UCGAGAAUUUUUCUCAAUGGGCGAAAGCCUGAAGGAGCGACGCCGCGUGGAGGAUGAAGGUCUUCGGGUUGUAAACUCCUGUCAUUUGGGAACAAGUUGGACGCCGUAACUGCGCGUCCAUUGAUAGUACCAGAAGAGGAAGGGACGGCUAACUCUGUGCCAGCAGCCGCGGUAAUACAGAGGUCCCAAGCGUUGUUCGGAUUCAUUGGGCGUAAAGGGUGUGUAGGUGGCGCCGUAAGUGGGGUGUGAAAUCUCGGGGCUUAACUCCGAAACUGCAUUCCAUACUGCGGUGCUUGAGGACUGGAGAGGAGACUGGAAUUCAUGGUGUAGCAGUGAAAUGCGUAGAGAUCAUGAGGAAGACCAGUGGCGAAGGCGGGUCUCUGGACAGUUCCUGACACUGAGACACGAAGGCCAGGGGAGCAAACGG
This 427-nucleotide ribosomal RNA is filed under the name uncultured bacterium. Its description in RNAcentral is "bacterial SSU rRNA". It matches the Rfam family "Bacterial small subunit ribosomal RNA", at positions 355 to 775 of the family's 1533-position model. The record is from RNAcentral.